GAUGAACGCUGGCGGCGUGCCUAAUACAUGUAAGUCGAGCGAACGGACGAGAAGCUUGCUUUUCUGAUGUUAGCGGCGGACGGGUGAGUAACACGUGGAUAACCUACCUAUAAGACUGGGAUAACUUCGGGAAACCGGAGCUAAUACCGGAUAAUAUUUUGAACCGCAUGGUUCAAAAGUGAAAGACGGUCUUGCUGUCACUUAUAGAUGGAUCCGCGCUGCAUUAGCUAGUUGGUAAGGUAACGGCUUACCAAGGCAACGAUGCAUAGCCGACCUGAGAGGGUGAUCGGCCACACUGGAACUGAGACACGGUCCAGACUCCUACGGGAGGCAGCAGUAGGGAAUCUUCCGCAAUGGGCGAAAGCCCGACGGAGCAACGCCGCGUGAGUGAUGAAGGUCUUCGGAUCGUAAAACUCUGUUAUUAGGGAAGAACAUAUGUGUAAGUAACUGUGCACAUCUUGACGGUACCUAAUCAGAAAGCCACGGCUAACUACGUG
This 497-nucleotide ribosomal RNA is filed under the name uncultured bacterium. RNAcentral's name for it is "partial 16S ribosomal RNA". It matches the Rfam family "Bacterial small subunit ribosomal RNA", at positions 28 to 507 of the family's 1533-position model. The record is from RNAcentral.